Long non-coding RNA from Rhinopithecus roxellana (golden snub-nosed monkey), 213 nucleotides. RefSeq lists it as uncharacterized. The transcript has 3 exons. Lineage: Eukaryota; Metazoa; Chordata; Mammalia; Primates; Cercopithecidae. The record is from RefSeq and is a predicted model, not a curated record.
AAACAAAAUUCUUAUUGGACUGAAAUCAAGUUAUCAACAUUGUUAAACCUGUUUACUGUGUGAGCUGGAGAACGUCAUUUGACCCUGAGAGCCCAGGUUUUCUCACCUGUGAAAUGGGGAUCAUUAGACCUACCCUUAUAGAGUUGUAAUGAUUCAGCAAGGUCAGGUUGGGUUCCUUUAUUUUUUGAGAUGGAGUUUCACUGUUGUUGCCCA